GGGGAUUUAGCUCAGUGGCAUAAGCACCUGCCUUGCAAGCAGGCAGUCAUGAGUUCAAUUUCUG
This 64-nucleotide transfer RNA is filed under the name Cavia porcellus (domestic guinea pig). It matches the Rfam family "tRNA". Rfam says of the family: Transfer RNA (tRNA) molecules are approximately 80 nucleotides in length. The record is from Rfam by way of RNAcentral. Lineage: Eukaryota; Metazoa; Chordata; Mammalia; Rodentia; Caviidae.